GCAAUUCCAGUGGUUCGCAAAAUCAAGAAUCAUAUCAAUGACAUUCAUCAACAAGAGGCUUUAACUGAUUGUCUUGAGCUUCUUGAUCUGUCAGUUGAUUUAGUAUCUGAUUCAAUCGUAGCAAUUGAUAAAAGAAGUCACUCGGGGCAUGCCAAUGCGCAAAGUUGGCUAAGUGGUGUGCUUGCUAACCACGUUACGUGCCUUGAUUCGUUAAGUAAUAAGAAUGGAACAGUUCUUGAUGAGUUGAUCACGAGAGCUAAGGUAGCAUUGGCGAUGCUCGCGUCUGUAACAACUCAGAAUGAGGAUGUUUUCAGGACGGUUUUAGGGAAAAUGCCAUCUUGGGUGAGUUUGAGGGAUAGGAAGCUGAUGGAGAGCUCGGGUAAGGACAUUAUAGCAAAUGCAGUGGUGGCACAAGAUGGAACAGGGGAUUAUCAAACACUUGCUGAAGCAGUUGCUGCAGCACCAGAUAAGAAUAAGACGCGGUACGUGAUCUAUGUAAAGAUGGGAAUUUAUAAAGAGAAUGUUGAGGUGACUAAGAAGAAAAUGAACUUGAUGAUUGUUGGUGAUGGAAUGAAUGCUACCAUCAUUACUGGUAGCCUUAAUGUUGUCGAUGGAUCAACAACCUUCCGCUCUGCCACUCUUGGUAAGUUUUCAACAACUUACGUAUGUAUAGUAGAUGUUGAACCCUUUGGCCUAUUUGUCAUAUACCUUUGAUAUUUCGAACCCCUUUAAUGAAAAUCCUGGCUCCGCCAUCAUGAGCUAGGAUUAAGGAUUGUGUUAUUUGUAGUUCAUAUUUGAUUAAUGAACAAGUGUUACAUAUGUACUAGUGCAUUUUCAUCAUAUUGCAGCUGCAGUUGGGCAAGGAUUUAUACUACAGGACUUAUGUAUACAGAACACAGCAGGACCAGAGAAAGGCCAAGCAGUGGCACUACGAGUUGGAGCUGAUAUGUCUGUCAUAAAUCGUUGUCGUAUAGAUGCUUAUCAAGACACCCUUUAUGCACAUUCUCUAAGGCAAUUCUAUCGAGACUCCUACGUGACAGGUACUCGUGAAGUAGAUUACCCUAAAUGUGCUAUGCUUUCUAUUGAACUCAAGUAUUAAAAAGUUUAAAUCUUGAAUCCGUCUCUGCAGGUACUGUUGAUUUCAUAUUUGGUAAUGCAGCAGUUGUAUUCCAGAAAUGCCAGCUCGUAGCUAGAAAACCGAAUAAAAGACAGAAAAACAUGGUGACUGCACAAGGCAGGACGGACCCAAAUCAGGCCACGGGGACAUCAAUUCAGUUCUGUGACAUAAUAGCAAGUCCGGACCUUGAACCAGUCGUGAACGAAUUCAAAACGUAUCUUGGUAGGCCAUGGAAAAAAUAUUCAAGAACUGUAGUGAUGCAAUCGUACCUAGGUGGUCAUAUUGAUCCAUCAGGUUGGUUUGAAUGGCGCGGAGAUUUUGCGUUGAAGACAUUGUAUUAUGGUGAAUUUAUGAACAAUGGACCUGGUGCUGGUACUAGUAAGCGUGUCAAGUGGCCUGGUUAUCAUGUCAUUACUGAUCCUGCUAAAGCUAUGCCGUUCACUGUGGCUGAGCUGAUUCAGGGCGGAUCAUGGUUGAAUUCGACUAGCGUGGCGUAUGUGGAAGGGUUAUUUGAGUAGGGAAUAAUAAAAGUACUCUUCGUUUAUGUAGAAAACAUUACUAAAAAGCUCAAAAUAAGUAGUAGUAAUAUAUAUAAUGUACAACAUAAGCAAAGGCAGAGCCAGAAUUAAGAGUUUAAAGCAUGAAAAGAAAGAACACACGACUCUAGUGUGACAAGCAUUUCCAUGCCCCAUUCUCUAACACUGAGCUGUCAAUCAGUUUUGUUAGGGGUUCACAAGUUAAUAUAUAUAUAUAUAUAUAUAUUUUUUUUUUUUUUUGUGAAAGAAGUGGCAGAUUGUAGUUUUGAUCUUUGAAUAAUCCUAUGGGUCUUUUGGGCUUAGUUUUGGUACUUGAUGUAGUUUGGGCCUCUUGGGAGAAGUCAUGUGAAUGAACAUCGGAAAAUUGUGAUUGGGCCAAUAUCUUUCUUUCUAGUAUCUAUUGAGUAUUUGUUCAAAGUGGUAAAAAGAUGUCUUUGCACUAAUGACCUUUUGUGAGGUCAGUUAUUUAAGAUUCUAUAUCUGUUAUUCUAGUGGGUAUUUAUUAUCGGGAAAAAAUAAUUUGACUUGACACGUAGUUUAAGAAAAUAAUUUUUUUUUUCAAUUUUGUGGUUCCUAAUUAAAGUUAUGACAAAUGUAUCAAAAUGUCAUUUAAUCCUGUGGUUUGAAACAUGUCACGUGGAAAGCUGAAAUUAAAGUGCUGUAAAAAAAACAAAAGGAUCAUUCUUUUUAAAACAGUCUAAAAAAAAAGUAGGAUAUUCUUUUUGAAAUAGAGGCAGUAAUACAUUUAAUUAUUACUUUCAAAAGACAAAGUUUCUCCAUUUGAUUAACAUGAAAAAAAUGUAAAGUGUGACCUAAAAGAGGUCAUAUGUUGUAAAUAAUUCACUUCUAAAGGCAAAAUUAACACAAUAGAAGUAGAACGAUAAAACAAACGUGAAAUUUACUCUCAACGCCCUUAGGAAUGGUUGAUUUUGAAUUUUUGACAAAUUGUUCGAAUGAGAAUCUAUAACUCCUUUUUGAAUCGAGAGUUAAACGAAAAUAAUCUUUUUAUUCCACAAAGAUAUGAAUAAAGUCUGUGUACAUCUUAUCCUUUUCAAAUCCACUUGUGGAAUUAUAUUGAUCAUAUUAUUGUUCUUUGUUUGUACUUUAAUUCAUUUGUCGUCAAUAAAAUAUCAUAUUUGUCAUAAAAGAGGUUUAGGAAUGUCAAUUAAAUUACCUAAAUUUCAAUCAAAAUUUUUAAUUUUUAAAUUAUUUUAGAAAUAGUAAAAAAGAUAAAUAUGUAGAAUUUUGCACAUUGAAGAAUAGGAAAAUAUAUUUUAAGAAUUUGUAAUUGAAAAUCAUUUAACUUUCAUAAAUAGUGAUGUUACUAUUUGAAAUGGACAUAUGAUCAAUAUUAUUGUAUAGCCUACAAAUAUUAUAAAUUGAGUGGUCUGAUUUUGAAAAAAUAUUGACCUAUGAGUUAUGGUGCUCCACUGAUUUUUUUAGUGCCAUAUCUACUCUUUCAUUUUCUAAAAAAAGAUAUCUUCUCUAGGUGAUAAUUUUUUGCAACCAAUCACAUUUUCUUUGGUACAUUGAAAAAAACUAAAUAAUUUUUUGCUAUCUUUCUUUGGUAAGCAACAUGACUUUUAAAGUUUAGGAGAAAAAUAAUUCCAUUUUCUUGAGCGCUUCAUCUAAAAUUAGCAAUUUCUUUUUCAUGUUUAUGGUCUUCGGUCAUCAAAAAUCUCAUAUUGAUUUGCCUCCCUUCAAAUGCGUAUGAUAGUAAAUUUGUUCAAUUUUAAUAAAUAUCUAUUGUCUUAUGUCCUCUUUGAUAAGUUAGAUGACAAGUAGACAAUCCAUCUCUAGUUCGAAUUCUUUUUAACCCCUAUUUUUUGCUAGUUUGAAAAUUUGUUUGAUGCUUUAUUGUUUUGUAAUGAAAUUUGAAGCAGAUUUCAUUUUACUUAAAUAUUUCUAACAUCCAUUUUUAUUGAUCAUCCUUCAAGAUUAUGUUAUUAAAAAAAUAGGAAGUAUAAAUUGAAGAAGAAAAUGUUUUGAGGCGUGAAUAAUCAUUUUUCUUAAAGAGAUAUUGCGCAUAUACAUAUUGGAGAAAUUCAAACAAUUUCCUUCAAGAUACGACAAAGCCCUUGUGUGUGUGUAUAUAUAUAUAUAUAUAUAUAAUUUUUCAAGCAUUUAGAAUCACCAAUCCUUUAUUUUAUUUUAUAUAUUUUCAAAUAAUCAUUUUGUUAAAUAGUUAACUAUUGUUAAAUUUAACGAUCAAAACUGCACACUUCAAAUAAUUAAAGGUUAAAUUGACAUAAUUAAUAACACAAGGUUUAAAAUUAGAAUUAUGCAAUAAUACAUGAAUUAAAACAGUUAUUUCCCCAAUUAAAAAAGAAGGAAUCAACUGUCAUGAUAAUCUUAAUUCUUACCUUAAAAAUGUCACACUAUCACAAUUUCAAGAUGGUCCUACUUUGGACAAAGUAGUUGAGUCAUAUCAAUUCUCCCUCUUUUGUCAAUUUUAAAUUUUAUCACAUGGGAGAUAUUUGUGAGUAUUGAGUACUUAGCACACGUUGGGGUGGGCGCUCUGUAUUCGGUUUGAGUUUUUCAAAUUUUGGGUUUCGUAAUUUAGUAAUUGAUAGUUAAAAGUAAAUAUUAAAUAUUAUUUUUUAAAAUUUUGAUUUGGUAAUUCGAUAAAUGGUAAAUUAAACUUCGAUUUGGUACGAUGUAUGAUAAUACCGUAUUGAAGUUAUAGCUAAUUGCAUUACAAAGUUAAUACUAUUUCUCCAAUCAUUUUUAUAUUUUAUGUGGAGGCACGAUAUGAUAGAAGAUCAACAAGUAAGAAGACAUUAGAAAAAAACAAAUUGAUACAACUAAAGGACAUAUGUAUUUGGAUUGUUCAUGCUUAUUCUUUAACUUUCUGUUGGGACUUGUACUAAUGAGUAAUGCAUAUGUUGAUAUUUUGACCUUCAUUAAGUAAAUAAUUUGGCAUUCGGAAAAUACCGAAUACCAAAUGGUACUAAUGUCUCAUACCAAACCCAAACCCGAAUACCAUAAUUCUAAAAUCUUACUCUCGACUACCAUACCAAAUACCGAAUUACCGAAGACCAAAUUACCAAAAAAAUUUAUUCGAUUCAGUAAUUCAAUUUUCGAUAUUUUAUGUUCAACCCUAGUCCCAAGUACCCAAUUUUCUUCCACCAUUUAUGGAGAGCGGUAAUUUAUCAAGGAUUAUUAUGAGAUAAAUUGAAACACUUUACUUUAAUCAAAGAUUUUGACUACAACUUUUAGAAAUGAAAAUAAUAUCUGAUACAGAAUGCUUUCCUCUUAACAAGCCUUACUUAUGCGACUCAAAAUUUAUCGAGCCAGUAAAUUACGAAUAUCAAUUGAUUUUAAGUAAGAAUAAAAAUUUGCAAAAGGACCAACUUGAAUUUGCACAAGGACCAACUUGUACUCUAUUAUUACCUCACAUUUGCAUCCACACACAUAUAGACAACAACAUCACUGCCAAAUAAGGCAUAAUAUAUAAAUAUGCCCUUUAACUUGGCUUCAAAUCACAUUUAUGCCUUUCAAUUUUGGGUGUGCACAAGUAGACACUUAAAUUUGUAUAAAAUUGAACAAAUAGACACACAUGUCUAACAUGACAUCUUACAUAUCAAUUUUUAUCCUACGUGGUGUCCUAUGUGUAUUGUGUCAUGUAGGAUUCAUGUGUCUACUUGUUCAAUUUUAUACAAGUUUAAGUACCUACUUGUGCAUAUCCAAAGUUGGAGGACAUAAACGUAAAAUGAUGUCAAGUUAAAGAGGCAAUUGCCCCUCUUUUAACAUAUGCCAAAUGCAUUGACAAUUCCUUAAAUUUAUAAAUUUUAUUUAGACACUCGAAUUAUGAUGUGUUACAAUUUUGAAUGUGACCACAUGAUAAAGUGAUCCUAUUAUAUACUUUCAACUCAAAAUUUUGAGAAAACUUUUGCGAUUAUUUUCAAGCGUUCAUUAUUACAUACAUAAAUAUGUCCUUUAACUUGGCUUCAACUGACAUUUAUGCCCUUCAACUUUUGGUGUGCACAAGUAGACACUUGAACUUGUAUAUAAUUGAACAAGUAGACAUACACGUCCUAUGUGGCAUAAUAUACGUAGGACUCCACGUAAGAUACAAAAUUGUCACGUAGAACACCAUGUAAGACGAAUGUGUCUAUUUGUUCAGUUUUAUAUAAGUUUAAGUGUCUACUUAUACACACUUAAAGUUUGAGGACAUAGAUGACCAUUGAAGCCAAGUUGACGGGGCACAUUUAUGUAUCAUGCCUUCUUUUAACGUAGGUAAAAUACAUUGACAAUGCUUUAAAUUUAUCACUAAAUUUCAUUUAAACAAUCAAACUAUGAUAUGUUACAAUUUAGCCUCUGAACACAUGAUAAAAUGUUCUACUAGACACUUUGGACUCAAAAUUUUGAGAAAACUUUUGCAAUGUUUUAAGCCAUCCAAUAUUUAGAUAUGUUAACCACCUAAAAUAUCUCAUAGAAAUUAAACCUAUUAUAUAAACAAUGUAUUAUAGUAAGUGAAAGUGUAUCAAAAUAUUCAACACACAUAGUUGCAAACUUCUAAAAUGGCUACUCCUCACCAACCUUUGUUAACAAAAACUCACAAACAAAAUCCAAUAAUCAGCUUCAAGAUCCUCUCUUUUGUCAUAACUUUCUUUGUUGCUCUCUUCUUAGUUGUGUUUCUUGUUGCUCCAUACCAAGUUGAGAUUGAACAUUCUAAUCUAUGUAAGGCUGCACAAGAUUCCCAACUCUGCCUUAGUUAUGUCUCUGAUUUAAUGUCCAAUGAAAUUGUCACAUCAAAUUCAGAUGGACUAAGUAUUCUGAAGAAAUUCUUAGUUAAAUAUGUUCAUCAAAUGAACAAUGCAAUUCCAGUGGUUCGCAAAAUCAAGAAUCAGAUCAAUGACAUUCGUCAACAAGGGGCUUUAACUGAUUGUCUUGAGCUUCUUGAUCUGUCAGUUGAUUUAGUAUCUGAUUCAAUUGCAGCAAUUGAUAAAAGAAGUCGUUUGGAGCAUGCCAAUGCGCAAAGUUGGCUAAGUGGUGUGCUUACUAACCACGUUACAUGCCUUGAUUCGUUAAGUACUAAGAAUGGAACAGUUCUUGAUGAGUUGAUCACUAGAGCUAAGGUAGCAUUGGCGAUGCUCACAUCUGUAACAACUCAGAAUGAGGAUGUUUUCAGGACGGUUUUAGGAAAAAUGCCAUCUUGGGUGAGUUCGAGGGAUAGGAAGCUGAUGGAGAGGUCGGGUAAGGACAUCAAAGCAAAUGCAGUGGUGGCACAAGAUGGAACAGGGGAUUAUCAAACACUUGCUGAAGCAGUUGCUGCAGCACCAGAUAGGAGUAAGACGCGUUAUGUAAUUUAUGUAAAGAUGGGAAUUUAUAAAGAGAAUGUUGAGGUGACUAGCAGGAAAAUGAACUUGAUGAUUGUUGGUGAUGGCAUGAAUGCUACCAUCAUUACUGGUAGCCUUAAUUUUGUUGAUGGAACAACAACCUUCCGCUCUGCCACUCUUGGUAAGUGUUCAAUUUAUCAGCCUAUAUUUCUUAUAACUGUGGUGUUCGUGUCAGCUUGCUUUAAUACUAGUGCAUUUUCAUCAUAUUGCAGCUGCAGUUGGGCAAGGAUUUAUACUACAGGACAUAUGUAUACAGAACACAGCAGGACCAGAGAAACACCAAGCAGUGGCACUUCGAGUUGGAGGUGAUAUGUCUGUCAUAAAUCGUUGCCGUAUUGAUGCUUAUCAAGACACCCUAUAUGCACAUUCUCAAAGGCAAUUCUAUCGAGACUCUUACGUGUCAGGUACAGUUCAACUGAAUUCAGUAUUUUUAACAUAACAAAUUAUGAAGGUUGAAUCAUCUAAGUUUAAACCUUGAAUCCGUCUAUGCAGGGACUAUUGAUUUCAUAUUUGGUAAUGCAGCAGUUGUAUUCCAGAAAUGCCAGCUCGUAGCUAGAAAACCGAGUAAAUAUCAGAAAAACAUGGUGACUGCACAAGGCAGGACGGACCCAAAUCAGGCCACGGGGACAUCAAUUCAAUUCUGUGACAUAAUAGCUAGUCCGGAC
This 7660-nucleotide long non-coding RNA is filed under the name Solanum tuberosum (potato). Its description in RNAcentral is "long non-coding RNA (STUB_LNC007760)". Lineage: Eukaryota; Viridiplantae; Streptophyta; Magnoliopsida; Solanales; Solanaceae. The record is from RNAcentral.